RNAcentral lists this ribosomal RNA (393 nucleotides) under uncultured Lactobacillus sp. RNAcentral's name for it is "bacterial SSU rRNA". It matches the Rfam family "Bacterial small subunit ribosomal RNA", at positions 154 to 525 of the family's 1533-position model. Lineage: Bacteria; Bacillati; Bacillota; Bacilli; Lactobacillales; Lactobacillaceae. The record is from RNAcentral.
AAACAGAUGCUAAUACCGGAUAAAAAGACUACUUUCGCAUGAAAGAAGUUUAAAAAAAGGACGGCGUAAAAGCUGUCGCUAAAGGAUGGACCUGCGAUGCAUUAGCAGUUGGUAAGGUAACGGCGUUACCAAGGCGAUGAUGCAUAGCCGAGUUGAGAGACUGAUCGGCCACAUUGGGACUGAGACACGGCCCAAACUCCUACGGGAGGCAGCAGUAGGGAAUCUUCCACAAUGGACGCAAGUCUGAUGGAGCAACGCCGCGUGAGUGAAGAAGGUUUUCGGAUCGUAAAGCUCUGUUGUUGGUGAAGAAGGAUAGAGGUAGUAACUGGCCUUUAUUUGACGGUAAUCAACCAGAAAGUCACGGCUAACUACGUGCCAGCAGCCGCGGUAAAU